Molecule: long non-coding RNA, 1042 nt
Organism: Artibeus jamaicensis (Jamaican fruit-eating bat)
Lineage: Eukaryota; Metazoa; Chordata; Mammalia; Chiroptera; Phyllostomidae
Exons: 3
Source: RefSeq, a predicted model, not a curated record
GUGGAGCGCCCUUCCUCACCAGGGUACAGAGCGCUAACAGCAGCGCAUUUGCUUACUCAGCAACCCCACCCCCAGUGAACAGAGGUCAAGCCCGGCAAGCCCUUGAACUCUGAUGGGGCAGCAAUCCCAUGGAAAUGAGGAACUCCCACGGGUGAGGAGCUCUCUGAGGUACUGAGGAGCAUAAACGGGAGAAGCUCAGGAAACAGUAUUCUUGGAGGGUCUUAAUCAUCUCUGUAACUGCUGAGCCCAAGAUGGGACUGACCACACACUAGGUGAGGGGAUGGCCUGGCCACUGUGCUUAUGCGAGGUCUGCAGAAAGGACUUCCCAAGGUCAAUGUCCUGAAUGCAACAGGGACUGAGUCCAGGUAUUUCCGGCCUCUCCCUCAGGGACCAGAUGGCUGGUGCCCCCUCUAGGAUGACUGCCUCCUGACAGCGAAGAGGUUCUUCUAAACCAUGACAACCAACCUACUCCUUAGAAACACACCUAAAGCAGGAGUGAGAAGGCCUGACGAAGGCAUCAUCUCUGUCGUCUGAAACGAGGGCUCUGGUGGCGAGCGCAGAGCAGUCUUCCUUCAGAGGCUGCCUGUGUGUGAUCCGGGCCCACCGAGUCCCACACAGUCACGAACACACUGAAAGGAGCUCUGGGGGAAGUGAGAGCAAGAGGAAUUUUCUUUUUUUUUUAGUAAGAGGAAUUUUCAAUGACUCAUAUAAAUUGCUCCUAUGUUCGGUAGCCAGAGCUUCAGAAAUAUUUAAAUGCGGAUACUAGUGAAAUUAAUGACCAAUAAUUUAAACUUAUUUGGGAAAACAUUAAUUUGCUGAGAUAUGGUCCAUGGAACCCUAACAAUUAAACCUGGAUUAAAUAAAUCUGUUUCCUGAGACACUCUAAAUAUUCAUCUCUAGUAAAAUAUCCCCCGGGAACAAAUACUUUUAUGUUCUUUGGUUAAAGGGAAAAAUAACUCAAAAUGGUAAAGGUAUCGAAUACAUUCUCCUCAUGGGGUCUCACCCUACUCACACCCCAACUUCCACAUGGAGGGCCUGCUCC